GGGUGGUAGUUAAGGGCUAGGGUGGUGGUUAAGGGUUAGGGUUAGGGUGGUGGUUAAGGGUUAGGGUUAGGGUGGUGGUUAAGGGUUAGGGUUAGGGUGGUGGUUAAGGGUUAGGGUGGUGGUUAAGGGUUAGGGUGGUGGUUAAGGGUUAGGGUGGUGGUUAAGGGUUAGGGUGGUGGUUAAGGGUUAGGGUUGUGGUUAAGGGUUAGGGUGGUGGUUAAGGGUUAGGGUUAGGGUGGUGGUUAAGGGCUAGGGUGGUGGUUAAGUGUUAUGGUGGUGGUUAUGGGUUAGGGUUAGGGUGGUUGUUAAGGGUUAGGGUGGUGGUUAAGGGCUAGUGUGGUGGUUAAGGGUUAGGGUGGUGGUAAAGGGUUAGGGUGGUGGUUAAGGGUUAGGGUGGUGAUUAAGGGUUAGGGUGGAACCAACUAGGGUGGUAGUUAAGGGCUAGGGUGGUGGUUAAGGGUUAGGGUUAGGGUGGUGGUUAAGGGCUAGGGUUAGGGUGGUGGUUAAGGGUUACGGUGGUGGUUAAGGGUUAGGGUGGUGGUUAAGGGUUAGGGUGGUGGUUAAGGGUUAGGGUGGUGGUUAGGGGUUAGGGUUAGGGUGGUGGUUAAGGGUUAGGGUGGUGGUUAAGGGUUAGGGUGGUGGUUAAGGGUUAGGGUGGUGGUUAAGGGUUAGGGUAGUGGUUAAGGGCUAGGGUGGUGGUUAAGGGUUAGGGUGGUGGUUAAGGGUUAGGGUGAUGGUUAAGGGUUAGGGUGGUGGUUAAGGGUUAGGGUGGUGGUUAAGGGUUAGGGUUAGGGUGGUGAUUAAGGGUUAGGGUGGUGGUUAAGGGUUAGGGUGGUGGUUAAGGGUUAGGGCAGUGGUUAAGGGUUAGGGUGGUGGUUAAGGGUUAGGGUGGUGGUUAAGGGUUAGGG
Oncorhynchus tshawytscha (Chinook salmon) is the source of this 908-nucleotide long non-coding RNA. The record is from Ensembl. NCBI's taxonomy places the organism in Eukaryota, Metazoa, Chordata, Actinopteri, Salmoniformes, Salmonidae.